Xenopus laevis (African clawed frog) is the source of this 1904-nucleotide RNA transcript. It is a transcript of the gene named cyclin B3 S homeolog, with no coding region annotated. The record is from RefSeq and is marked provisional. NCBI's taxonomy places the organism in Eukaryota, Metazoa, Chordata, Amphibia, Anura, Pipidae. The transcript has 13 exons.
GACUAUCUGAUUGGAUGGUAAAAGGCCAAUCGGAGCUAGGGAUAGGCGGGUCCCAAUGCGUUCAAAUUUGUGUGUGUGUAAUCCAAAAGCUGUAACAGAGCUGCUGGGUGUGUGAAUCGUCCUGACCAGGGGAACGAUAAGGAUUUGGGACAUAACCGCUGAGGUUUCACAAAGCGACCGGGUUGCCGUUACACCAGCAACUUCGUAAGCUGUAUCCUUCACCAUGAUGCCUUCUCUUCGUCCAUCUCGGCCAGUGGCUUCCAAACUUCCGAAACUGGGGAAGCCGGUUACUGCAGAGAAUAAUCGACUUGAUAAGGUGGAGAUCAGUCAGACAAAGCGUUCUCCUUCCUCUCCACAGGGAGGCGCAAAGAAGAGAGCAGCAUUUGGAGACAUUACCAAUGCUCACAAAAACCCACAACUAAUUCAGAAGAAGAAGGAGGGACAGAAAGUUGCCAUCAAGAAGACCAAAAGUGCUCCCACAAGUGACAUUACAAAGAAUAAUGAGCUCAAUAUCAAGAAGACUCAGAAGAAGGCCACAGUAACUGAAGAACAUCUCCCUGAAGUAAAAGAAGAAAAAAUAAACACUGAGCAGAAAACAUCAGUACCUACCAAGGAAAUACCUGAGGAAAAGGUUCUUCCACCUGGUGUUGAGGACAUAGACCAGGACUCUCUUGACGACCCCUUCUCUAACUCUGAAUAUGCAACGGAUAUUUUCAGCUAUAUGCGGGACAGAGAGGAGAAAUUUCUGCUUCCAAACUACCUGGAGAUGCAAACAGAUAUUAGCAAGGAUAUGAGGGCUAUCCUUGUGGAUUGGAUGGUGGAGGUGCAGGAAAACUUUGAGCUUAACCAUGAAACCCUAUACCUGGCAGUGAAAAUGGUCGACCAUUAUUUAGCAGUGUCUGUCGUCAUGAAGGAGAAGCUUCAGCUUAUUGGUUCCACUGCUGUACUCAUUGCAUCUAAGUUCGAGGAGCGUUGCCCACCCUGUGUCGACGAUUUCAUGUACAUCUGUGAUGAUGCAUACAAAAGGGAUGAGGUUAUUGCUAUGGAGAUGGAAAUCCUGCAAAAACUCUACUUUGACAUCAACAUUCCGGUCCCAUACCGCUUCCUGCGCAGAUUUGCUAAGUGUGCCCAUGCCACCAUGGAGACUCUGACCCUUGCCAGAUACAUUUGUGAACUGACCCUACAGGAAUAUGACUUUGUGCAGGAGCGUGCAUCUAAGAUGGCUGCCAGCUGCCUGUUGCUUGCUCUUCAAAUGAAGGGGUUGGGCAGAUGGACUGCCACACUACAUUAUUACAGUGGGUAUCAGACCAAUGAUUUAUUGCCCCUAGUGAAGAGGCUGAAUUUCCUACUCACAUAUCCUCCCAACAAGAAGUUAAAGGCAGUGAGGAGCAAAUACUCACACAGGGUCUUCUUUGAAGUGGCAAAAUUGCCCCCCAUGGACAUGCUAACACUUACAGAGGCCCUUCAGAGCUAAUACUGCCCAUCCUCUCCCAGGAUCUCUUCUCCUUGCCCUUGUGUAUAUAGCCUGGGUCAGAGAGGGAGGUAAGCUAGAAAUAGAGGUCUACAGGAAACCUACCCACACAGACCAGUACCUGCUGUUUGACUCCCACCAUCCACUAGAUCACAAACUGGGGGCCAUAAAAACUCUACAUCACAGAGCAGACAAGAUCCCCACUAGCACAGAGGCUAAGAUGAACGAGAGGGAACAUCUCAGAGGGGCCAUGAAGACAUCGGAGUAUCCAGAUUGGUCUUUGUAAAUCAGGUUUCACCCAUAUUAUAUACAUCACGUUUCAUGUUAUAUCUUUUACACAUCAUGUUUCAUGUUACAGCUUCUAUCAUAUUACAGCAUAUGUCAGUAUUUAGCAUAUAACAAUAUCAAAUCCACAGGUAAAACCAUCAACUGG